RNAcentral lists this ribosomal RNA (450 nucleotides) under uncultured bacterium. RNAcentral describes it as "partial 16S ribosomal RNA". It matches the Rfam family "Bacterial small subunit ribosomal RNA", at positions 354 to 796 of the family's 1533-position model. The record is from RNAcentral.
GUAGGGAAUCUUCCACAAUGGACGAAAGUCUGAUGGAGCAAUGCCGCGUGAGUGAAGAAGGGUUUCGGCUCGUAAAACUCUGUUGUUAAAGAAGAACACCUUUGAGAGUAACUGUUCAAGGGUUGACGGUAUUUAACCAGAAAGCCACGGCUAACUACGUGCCAGCAGCCGCGGUAAUACGUAGGUGGCAAGCGUUGUCCGGAUUUAUUGGGCGUAAAGCGAGCGCAGGCGGUUUUUUAAGUCUGAUGUGAAAGCCUUCGGCUUAACCGGAGAAGUGCAUCGGAAACUGGGAGACUUGAGUGCAGAAGAGGACAGUGGAACUCCAUGUGUAGCGGUGGAAUGCGUAGAUAUAUGGAAGAACACCAGUGGCGAAGGCGGCUGUCUAGUCUGUAACUGACGCUGAGGCUCGAAAGCAUGGGUAGCGAACAGGAUUAGAUACCCCUGUAGUCC